Molecule: ribosomal RNA, 497 nt
Filed under: uncultured bacterium
Lineage: Bacteria
Description: partial 16S ribosomal RNA
Rfam family: Bacterial small subunit ribosomal RNA
Source: RNAcentral
GACGAACGCUGGCGGCGUGCCUAAUACAUGCAAGUAGAACGCUGAAACUUGGUGCUUGCACCGAGCGGAUGAGUUGCGAACGGGUGAGUAACGCGUAGGUAACCUGCCUGGUAGCGGGGGAUAACUAUUGGAAACGAUAGCUAAUACCGCAUAAGAGUAGAUGUUGCAUGACAUUUGCUUAAAAGGUGCAAUUGCACCACUACCAGAUGGACCUGCGUUGUAUUAGCUAGUUGGUGGGGUAACGGCUCACCAAGGCGACGAUACAUUGCCGACCUGAGAGGGUGAUCGGCCACACUGGGACUGAGACACGGCCCAGACUCCUACGGGAGGCAGCAGUAGGGAAUCUUCGGCAAUGGACGGAAGUCUGACCGAGCAACGCCGCGUGAGUGAAGAAGGUUUUCGGAUCGUAAAGCUCUGUUGUAAGAGAAGAACGAGUGUGAGAGUGGAAAGUUCACACUGUGACGGUAGCUUACCAGAAAGGGACGGCUAACUACGUG